UUCCCUAACCGCUCAGCCAUCUGACCCCUACAUUUAAAGCAGGAGCGUAGCCACGAAAAUAUUUUUUGUUAGACCUAAAAAAAUACGGAUAGGCAUCUUUUCAGGGUUUUUUUACUCAUUUACUUUGCGAUGUGACAUCAUUUUUCGGAGAUACUUUCAUUUUUGGGUAGGCCUUAGAACAAAUUGGGUAGGCCUGUGCCUACCCGUGGCUACGCCCCUGAUACACAGUACAUGCAAUAUCAAUGGAUAGUCUAUCUCACAGACCUUACUAAAAGAGAAUUCCAAAUGAUUGACAAGUGUCUGGCAUCGCUGUCUCUCUGGUCACUGCAGAGAGACAGAGAGGAGUGAUUAAGGACAAUCCUUCUCUCCUCGCAGGCAUUCAUCUGGAGUUUCAGACCAGCACCGCUGAGGGGGGGGGGGGUCGGGGAGGAGACCAGCUCAAAAGGAUCUCAGCAAUCUGUUUCAAAACGUUCCUUCCUUGACAUCAAUCCCUACAUGCAUGGAUAUGCACACACCAGGAAGGAGGUGUUGAUGUGUGUGGUCUCGGAUAAGGAAGAAGCUGCAAAAAGGCAGAGUUGACAGGAUAUGAUGCUCUGUGGCCAGGGUUGACAUUAUGUCUGCAAGCCAUAAGUUCCCUGU
Molecule: long non-coding RNA, 639 nt
Organism: Hypomesus transpacificus
Lineage: Eukaryota; Metazoa; Chordata; Actinopteri; Osmeriformes; Osmeridae
Exons: 2
Source: RefSeq, a predicted model, not a curated record